GGCUCAGGAUGAACGCUGGCGGCGUGCCUAACACAUGCAAGUCGAACGAAGCUUGACGGAUGAUUUCUUCGGAAUGAAACCUGAUAUGACUUAGUGGCGGACGGGUGAGUAACACGUGAGCAACCUGCCUUUCAGAGGGGGAUAACGGCUGGAAACGGUCGCUAAUACCGCAUGAUGUGUUCGGAUGGCAUCAUCUGAACAUCAAAGAUUUAUCGCUGAAAGAUGGGCUCGCGUCUGAUUAGAUAGUUGGUGGGGUAACGGCCUACCAAGUCGACGAUCAGUAGCCGGACUGAGAGGUUGACCGGCCACAUUGGGACUGAGAUACGGCCCAGACUCCUACGGGAGGCAGCAGUGGGGAAUAUUGGGCAAUGGGCGCAAGCCUGACCCAGCAACGCCGCGUGAAGGAAGAAGGCUUUCGGGUUGUAAACUUCUUUUAAGAGGGAAGAGCAGAAGACUGUACCUCUAGAAUAAGCCACGGCUAACUACGUG
Molecule: ribosomal RNA, 489 nt
Filed under: uncultured bacterium
Lineage: Bacteria
Description: bacterial SSU rRNA
Rfam family: Bacterial small subunit ribosomal RNA
Source: RNAcentral